AAUCCUCGGAAGCCGAGUGCUGGAGGCGGCCGAGAAGCUGUCAGGGCGCGGCCGUCGCCUCCUCAGGGAAAGCUCUGAGGCAUGGAAGGGCCGCCGGGACCCGCCGGUGCAGGAGCCCGCGAGGGAAGCCGUGUGGGGCGGGGCGCAGGCCUAGGAGGCAGCAGUUGCACCCUGGGGUGAGGGGAAAGGAAGUAGCCAGAGUGAAGGCUUUGAGCGGGUGAUGUCUGUUCUUCGCCUGAAGUGCAGGACCCUUACCACUUCACCCCGAAUCUUCGCUGUUUUCUCCACCCUGAGCUUGCCCCAAAUCUAACCACAGGCAGACACACCCAUAUAAGGGCGGAACUUGGGCAAUCUUAAAAAGAAGUCAUUAAAAAUAAACUCCCUGGGCUUUUAUAGCAGCCUUUUUGUAAAUUAUUUUUAUUCAACAGAGAUAGGGGCCUGCUUUAGAAAGUAGAUGGACAGUGUGCGUGUUGCAGUCUAUUUAAAUUAUGUAUUGGUAAGGUCAGCUCUCCAUGAACUUUGAAAUCAUGUAAUUGUUUCAAAAGCGAAACCAUUCACUUAAGACUUGUUUUAACCAACCUAUACCUCCAUCCCCACCCCGCGCCUUCCAGAGUAAUUAAAUGUAAAUAUAUAUAAAUGUAUACAGUAAGUCCCUGACUUAGGAGCUUUCGAGCUUCAAACUUUGACAGGUGCCAAGGGACCUCCGAUUACGAACAUUCAUAAAUGCAAACAAAUUGCGGAAGUAGCGCGUGUCCGCUGGACGUUGUCACAGUUGUGCCGCUUGUGCUUACUGCAUAGUGUGAUAGUGUAAUACUACUCAAACAUCGGGAUCUUUUUUCAAGAGUGUAGACAAUUGAAUCCAUCAAAACUCCUGUGUCGGCCAGGUGUGGUGGCACCUGCUUGUAACCCCAGCACUUUGGAGCCUGAGGCUGCGAAUUCAAGGCCUGCCUGGGCUACAUAGUUCAAAGGCAGCCUGCACUAUACAGUGAGACCCUGUCUCAAAAAAUAAACAAAAAACCCCUGUUUGAGCAGAAUUCUAUCUUGCCCUCCAUCUGCCAUUGCAGAUGGUCCUUCAGCUCCACCUUCUCCUCCCACCCUCCCUCUUCCAGUUAGUAAGGCUCUUCUUGUCAGUUGACCCCAUGUGCCAGUUGUAGUGUACCAUCAUUUUUUUUUGAGGCAAGACAUUUAUUUGUACCACCAUUUUAGGGUAACUAUAAAGUAAAAAUUGUUUGUUUAGAGUAUUUGUGUGUGAGUGUGUGUUUGGUGUUUUUAUGCUUUACAUUGUGUAUCUGUGUCAAAGGUAUAAGACUCACUUUGUCCAACUUAACAAAGGAAUACGACUUAGGAAGCGUCUCCCCAAACAGAACUUGUCCCUAAGUCGGAGACUAACUCUAUAUGCAUUUCUUUCAUUGAUGCGGUCAGGAAAAGUGUCCAAAAUGUGGAAAUGGGCAAGAGAGAUUACUGCGUGUCCUUUCAGUGGGGUGCUGGAUUGGGUGCUGUUUGUUAGAACUUCACGAGAUUAUCUGAUUCUAAAGUGUCUGUACCCUCGUGGACUUCCUAUUGACUAGGAAUGGCUUGACUGUCUCAUUUUCAUGAGCCUGAGGUACUCUGGUGUUGGACUUUUUGCUUGACAUUUGCAUGAACAGGAAUAGUUUACAUGUUUGAAGUUUAUGAAUUCUAUCAGUUAAAAAGUUGUGGUUUUCAAACUGAUGAAAGUAAGAGUCCCGUCUGUUAACAGCCUACUCCACCCGCACACAUCUACCCCUAGCUGAUGACAUCUGAGAACACUUGAAGGCCACUGUGAAAGGAGACCCAGCACUCCUCCUAGAAUGAAAUCAUCAUGUCAAGCAAUUUGGGUCCUGUCCUGGAGAAAUGUCCCUGCUGCUAUAUCUAGGAAGUCCACUGGAGCCCACUUCCGGACCCAGGAUCAGCUGAGCAGCUUCACAGCCACUCACUGCCCUGACGAGAAAGCAGCCAGACCUCAGAAGCAAAUCAGCAGGGCCAGCACCACUGUUGAGGAGGCCCAAAGGCUGUGAAGGCUGAGCUCCAGAUCCUCAUUGAUAAAAGCCAGCUGACAGCGAAGACCCCUUAUUAUCAGCGACCUCAGCCAACACACAACCUUCAAAACAUACUUUCUCCAGUUAUUUUGCAGUUUUAUUGGUUUCUUGCUAACCAUGUUGCUUGUAGCCCAUGUCUUCCUCUUUCCCCUCUCUUCUUCCUCCUUCUUUACCUUCUCUUGGUGGAUCUUCAUGUGUCUCUUGCAGAAAGCAUUCCUGGAUGGCAAACUUUUCGAAUCUUUGCAUGUGUGAAUACAUGUUAAUGUUGCUCUCACUUCAUUGUGGAUGAACUGGGUAUGGAAUCCUGGAUUCAGAAUAUUUAAGUGAUACUUCAUGAGGUAUAAAUUCUGAAUUCAGAAUAAUUUUCUGUCAGAAUUUGGUAAAACAUUUCCUUGAUAUUUGUACGACCUUGAAUUUGAUCCCCAUAGCUGCCAAAGAUAAAAAAUUGAAAAACUGAAAAAAGCCUUCUGUUCCCCUGGAUCCUCACACACACACACACCUUUUGGGAUUUCCCAGGAACCCAGACAUUUCCUGAGGAUACAGUGUUUCAUUAUUCCUUUUCAGCACUCAUGAGUCCCUUUCAAUUUGUAGACUUGAGCCUUUCUUCAGGAGAGAUUUAAAAAACACUUUUAAUAUUUCAUUCCUUCAAUUUUUUCUAUUUGUCCUUUCUGGAACUUUUGGUUGAAAAUUUAAAAAAAAACAAAAGAACAACUUGCCUGUAGCCUCCAUGACUCUUAGUAUUUUUCUUACUUGCUUCCUUUUCUUGCCUUUAUUCACAGAAUAUGGGAGAUUGCCCUAACUCAAUUUUGUGAACUUCCUCUUUGCAAAUUUGAUCUCCAUCCAUGCCCAUUUUGCUCUACUUCAGCCAUCUGUUGCAAGAUUUUUUUUUUUAUAUCAGCAGUCAUCCUUCUAAUUCCCAAGAACCCUACUUCUUUUUAUAGGGUGGGUCUUAUUUCUGUACUGGUGAUAACUUUGGUCCCAUCAGGAGGUUGUACACUUACUUGUUACAUUUAAUGAUUCUGCAGGUGGCUUUCCCUAAUUGCAUAAUUUUUUGUUUUUUGUUUUUUGUUUUGUAUUGGGGAUCAAACUCAGGACCUUUUGCUUUCAAGGCAGGUGGUGGCACCACUGAGCUAAAUCCCCGGCCUGCUGUUUGUUUGUUUUUUAAUUGCUUGGUUUUUGUUGUUGUUGUUUGGGUUUUGUUUUUUGAGACAGGGUCUCAUCAUGUAGUUCAGGCCAACCUCAAACUCACUAUGUGCCCCAGGCUGGCUUCGAAGUCUUGGUGAUCCACCUGCCUCAGCCUCCUGAGUGCUGAGAUUACAGGGAUCUGCCACCAAGUCCAGUGCAAUUGCAUGAUUUUUGACUGUCCUCAUUUCUGCUUAAGGGUCUUGGCCCUUUGACAUUAAGAGUUGAGACAUGUGUCUCCAGCCCGGGUGAGAUUCCCUGCUGUGUUAGGAAUAAAUGAAGAUUUGGGUACAGAGGUUCCAGCUCCAAGGACUGUGCAGAGCAGGAGGCAAAGGUGGGAGGUAAGGAAAGUAGUGCCUGGAACCUCUCUCUUGGCUACCACAGCAAACCUGGGACAGUGGCCACUUUCUCUGGUUCCGAUGCCUUCUCUGGGAGCCUCUUCUUUCAUGAUUUGCAUCUUAAUUUGGUAGGUAGUAAGCUUCACUUAAAAGUUUCACUUCAGGGGCAAAAGUAGAAAUCAGCUACUUUUUUGUUUGUUUAGUGCUGAGUAUUGAACCCAAGACCUUAUGCACGCUAAGCCUGUGCUCUACCACUGAACCACAACCCCUCAGCUCCAGCUUUGAGCUGCUUCUAAAACAGCCAAGAAUGAUGCAGAUGGGAGAAGAUAUUUGUGGCUCCUGCUCAUGAUUGUUUCAGUUUCUUUUUACUGGCCUCUCUGGAUUUCUAAGAGAGUUUACUUCUCCAGGGACCCUCUUUUUCUACUUUUAUGUAGGUGUUUAGGCACCUUGGCUCUGUGUGGUUUUGUUUUUGUUUUUGUUUUUUGUUUUGGGGGGCUCUGUGUGUUUUAUCAAUCUGCUUCAUAUCUUUCAUUAAUCAGUCCUUUUUAAAAAAAUAAGUCAGGGCCGGGGAUUUAGCUCAGUGGUUCCACUGCUUGCCUCGAAAGCACAAGGACCUGAGUUCAAUCCCCGGUACCAAUAAAUAAAUAAAUAAAUAAAUAAAAUUUAAAAAGGUCAGUCCUAUUUUGGUGCUCUGACAAUAACUGGCCUGGAUUUCCAGUGUUGCUUUCAAGUGAAUCACUUCUAGGGAUUGGUUUGUUUGGUUUGAGGUGUAACUGCAAAGUAGAAAAAGCAUGCUCAAACUCAAUUUCUCCUAUGAUAUACUCUUCACAGACCACUUCUGUGAGCCUGAAAAGUGUGGGGAUUUCUCCUCACCAGCAACCAAGCAAUCAGUUCUGCAGCAAACACUAGACUGGUGUUCUCUAGCCCAAUUCAGUUCUGACACUACUUGGAGUUUUACUGGAGGUAGAGUCAAAUUCCACAGAUCGAGGACUCAGUCCCCAUGUCUGCUCCUAUUUCAGACCCAGUCAGAAAUCUAGGCCUCUGGAAUUUCUGGCCAAUUAGCUUUAAACUGGAGUUCUCACCAAUUUGAUUAAUUUGCUAGAGCAGCUCAGAGUGGUUUAUUGUAAAGGAUUUUUUUUUUCCUCUUGUGUUGCUGGAGAUUGAACCCAGGGCCUUCACACUGAGCUAUAUUCCCAGCAUUUAAAAAACAAAAUUUGAGGCCUCUCUAAGCUGCUUUUCUUUGGGAGUGCCGUCUGGCCAGACUAAGGUCUGUUUUACUUUCCAACUUGUCUGGUGUGUUCCUUCCCGGGUGUUCUUCGCUGCAGUCAGCUCCUUGGAGCGUUUGGUAA
Heterocephalus glaber (naked mole-rat) is the source of this 4926-nucleotide non-coding RNA. The record is from RefSeq and is a predicted model, not a curated record. NCBI's taxonomy places the organism in Eukaryota, Metazoa, Chordata, Mammalia, Rodentia, Bathyergidae.